RNAcentral lists this ribosomal RNA (594 nucleotides) under uncultured bacterium. Its description in RNAcentral is "bacterial SSU rRNA". It matches the Rfam family "Bacterial small subunit ribosomal RNA", at positions 232 to 824 of the family's 1533-position model. The record is from RNAcentral.
CGCGGCCUAUCAGCUUGUUGGUGGGGUGAUGGCCUACCAAGGCGACGACGGGUAGCCGGCCUGAGAGGGUGUCCGGCCACACUGGGACUGAGAUACGGCCCAGACUCCUACGGGAGGCAGCAGUGGGGAAUAUUGCACCAUGGGCGCAAGCCUGAUGCAGCGACGCCGCGUGGGGGAUGACGGCCUUCGGGUUGUAAACCUCUUUCACCAUCGGCGAAGCCGGGAGCUUUUGUUUCUGGUGACGGUAGGUGGAGAAGAAGCACCGGCCAACUACGUGCCAGCAGCCGCGGUAAUACGUAGGGUGCGAGCGUUGUCCGGAAUUACUGGGCGUAAAGAGCUCGUAGGUGGUUUGUCGCGUUGUUCGUGAAAUCUCACGGCUUAACUGUGAGCGUGCGGGCGAUACGGGCAGACUGGAGUACUGCAGGGGAGACUGGAAUUCCUGGUGUAGCGGCGGAAUGCGCAGAUAUCAGGAGGAACACCGGUGGCGAAGGCGGGUCUCUGGGCAGUAACUGACGCUGAGGAGCGAAAGCGUGGGGAGCGAACAGGAUUAGAUACCCUGGUAGUCCACGCCGUAAACGGUGGGUACUAGGUGUG